This 466-nucleotide ribosomal RNA is filed under the name uncultured bacterium. RNAcentral's name for it is "bacterial SSU rRNA". It matches the Rfam family "Bacterial small subunit ribosomal RNA", at positions 917 to 1382 of the family's 1533-position model. The record is from RNAcentral.
GGGCCCGCACAAGCGGUGGAGCAUGUGGUUUAAUUCGAUGCAACGCGAAGAACCUUACCAGGUCUUGACAUCCAAAGAAUCCUGAUGAAAGUCGGGAGUGCCUUAGGGAGCUUUGAGACAGGUGGUGCAUGGUUGUCGUCAGCUCGUGUCGUGAGAUGUUGGGUUAAGUCCCGCAACGAGCGCAACCCUUGCUAUUAGUUGCUAACAGGUUAAGCUGAGCACUCUAAUGGGACUGCCGGUGACAAGCCGGAGGAAGGUGGGGAUGACGUCAAAUCAUCAUGCCCUUUAUGAUCUGGGCUACACACGUGCUACAAUGGAUGGUACAGAGAGCGGCGAUACAGUGAUGUGGAGCGAAUCUCAAAAAGCCAUUCUCAGUUCGGAUUGUAGUCUGCAACUCGACUACAUGAAGUCGGAAUCGCUAGUAAUCGCGAAUCAGCAUGUCGCGGUGAAUGCGUUCCCGGGCCUU